GGGGAAGUAUUUGCCGCGCUCAGUCUCUCUCGAUGCUCACGGUGAUCUUUCCUUUGCCAUUUCCCCCAAAACACUCCUUAACCCAAGGCCAUUAGGAAUUCACUACAGUUGUAAUCAUGAGACCUAGCUAGCUAGAGACUCAUGCCUGAGUUAACGAUGAACUUAUUGAAGAAGAACAUGGAAACAUUCGGAGACGACCUCGAUCGGUAUUGUUGUCGACAUCUGUGCAGAGGGUGAGAUUGCCGUGUGUCGCGGAUAGAACAUUCCCCCAAACAAACUGACCUUGUUCAAACAAACAAUCCCACAAAAGCAAAAAAUGUCAUUCAUGAAGGGUAAUUAAUAUCUCUAGCUAGCUAAUCACUUUGGAGAAAUUUCCUUUUGGUUUCUACUUUCUAGCCCCACUAGUUUCAAUUUAUGAGGUUCUUCUGCACCUCUAGACACAAGAUAAACGAUGAUCCUUGCGGUUUCUAGCUUGCCCCCACAACAUUCAAUAAGGAAGAUGAGCAGUUGUUAUCCUACACCUACAACCCAGGGCAGGGCAGGGGAGGGGAACUUUCCUUCCAACAAGAUGGGCAACGUUUGAGGGACAAUUCAAUAAACUUUGGUUACAAGGGGAACAGUAACACACU
This is a long non-coding RNA of Impatiens glandulifera, 629 nucleotides long. RefSeq lists it as uncharacterized. The record is from RefSeq and is a predicted model, not a curated record. Lineage: Eukaryota; Viridiplantae; Streptophyta; Magnoliopsida; Ericales; Balsaminaceae. The transcript has 4 exons.